This 59-nucleotide transfer RNA is filed under the name Salmo salar (Atlantic salmon). It matches the Rfam family "tRNA", at positions 8 to 63 of the family's 71-position model. Rfam says of the family: Transfer RNA (tRNA) molecules are approximately 80 nucleotides in length. Their secondary structure includes four short double-helical elements and three loops (D, anti-codon, and T loops). RNAcentral also lists the same sequence under 1 other name. The record is from Rfam by way of RNAcentral. Lineage: Eukaryota; Metazoa; Chordata; Actinopteri; Salmoniformes; Salmonidae.
UGGCUCAGUUGGUAGAGCAUGGCACUUGCAAUGCCAAGGAUUGUGGCUUUGAUUCCCGC